Molecule: ribosomal RNA, 492 nt
Filed under: uncultured bacterium
Lineage: Bacteria
Description: partial 16S ribosomal RNA
Rfam family: Bacterial small subunit ribosomal RNA
Source: RNAcentral
AGUGAACGCUGGCGGUAGGCCUAACACAUGCAAGUCGAACGGCAGCACAGUAAGAGCUUGCUCUUACGGGUGGCGAGUGGCGGACGGGUGAGGAAUACAUCGGAAUCUACUUUUUCGUGGGGGAUAACGUAGGGAAACUUACGCUAAUACCGCAUACGACCUACGGGUGAAAGCUGGGGAUCUUCGGACCUUGCGCGAUUGAAUGAGCCGAUGUCGGAUUAGAUAGUUGGCGGGGUAAAGGCCCACCAAGGCGACGAUCCGUAGCUGGUCUGAGAGGAUGAUCAGCCACACUGGAACUGAGACACGGUCCAGACUCCUACGGGAGGCAGCAGUGGGGAAUAUUGGACAAUGGGCGCAAGCCUGAUCCAGCCAUACCGCGUGGGUGAAGAAGGCCUUCGGGUUGUAAAGCCCUUUUGUUGGGAAAGAAAAGCAGCAGGUUAAUACCCCGCUGUUCUGACGGUACCCAAAGAAUAAGCACCGGCUAACUUCGUG